UACUUAAAAUAAGAAAAAGGGGCUAUGCUCGAACAUAGCCCCUUGUAGAACCGUUAAAAAGACGGUGACUUAAAAAUAAAUGAUUUACUC
RNAcentral lists this small RNA (90 nucleotides) under Enterococcus ratti. RNAcentral describes it as "RNA anti-toxin A". It matches the Rfam family "RNA anti-toxin A". The record is from Rfam by way of RNAcentral. Lineage: Bacteria; Bacillati; Bacillota; Bacilli; Lactobacillales; Enterococcaceae.